CAGUAGCCACGGGAAUACGAAGGGGGCUAGCGUUGUUCGGAAUCACUGGGCGUAAAGGGUGCGUAGGCGGGUCUUUAAGUCGGGGGUGAAAUCCUGGAGCUCAACUCCAGAACUGCCUUUGAUACUGAAGAUCUUGAGUUCGGGAGAGGUGAGUGGAACUGCGAGUGUAGAGGUGAAAUUCGUAGAUAUUCGCAAGAACACCAGUGGCGAAGGCGGCUCACUGGCCCGAUACUGACGCUGAGGCACGAAAGCGUGGGGAGCAAACAGGAUUAGAUACCCGUGUAGUCCCUGUCUCUUAUAC
RNAcentral lists this ribosomal RNA (301 nucleotides) under uncultured bacterium. RNAcentral's name for it is "partial 16S ribosomal RNA". It matches the Rfam family "Bacterial small subunit ribosomal RNA", at positions 509 to 807 of the family's 1533-position model. The record is from RNAcentral.